RNAcentral lists this ribosomal RNA (449 nucleotides) under uncultured bacterium. Its description in RNAcentral is "bacterial SSU rRNA". It matches the Rfam family "Bacterial small subunit ribosomal RNA", at positions 355 to 825 of the family's 1533-position model. The record is from RNAcentral.
UGGGGAAUAUUGGACAAUGGGCGCAAGCCUGAUCCAGCCAUGCCGCGUGAGUGACGAAGGUCUUCCGGAUUGUAAAGCUCUUUUUACCAGGGACGAUAAUGACGGUACCUGGAGAAUAAGCCCCGGCUAACUUCGUGCCAGCAGCCGCGGUAAUACGAAGGGGGCUAGCGUUGUUCGGAAUUACUGGGCGUAAAGCGCACGUAGGCGGAUUUGUAAGUCAGGGGUGAAAUCCCGGGGCUCAACCUCGGAACUGCCUUUGAUACUGCAAGUCUCGAGUGCGAUAGAGGUGAGUGGAAUUCCUAGUGUAGAGGUGAAAUUCGUAGAUAUUAGGAAGAACACCAGUGGCGAAGGCGGCUCACUGGAUCGGUACUGACGCUGAGGUGCGAAAGCGUGGGGAGCAAACAGGAUUAGAUACCCCAGUAGUCCCUGAGCGGGCUGGCAAGGCGCAU